UUUGAAUGAGGCAGAGAAACAUUCCAAGCAGGGAGAUGACCAGGCUUCCUAGUGAAUGUGAGAUCCCCUGGGAAUACGCAUAGAGCAAAUAGAAGAGUGACAACUGAGAUCUACACCACUCCAAAAUUUAGAUAUCGAGAAGAUGAAGAGGAGGCCUGGAAAUGUAUCUGAGAAGGGAUGACUAGUAAGAUACAAAAAUUGCCAAGAGAGAGUAGGCUCUUGAAUGCCAAGUGAAGAGAAUGUUUCAAGGAUCCAUUGUUCAACUUUGACAUGCUACUGAGAGUUUGACUCAAGGUACUUUCUUCAGGCCAGUGGAAUGAUUCUUGCAGAGAGCCAAAGUGCCUGAGAGUUUAUAUCAUUCCAGGGAAGACCUUUCCAGUGACAUACAGGGUGGCAACUUUCUGGAAGAAGAAGAAAACAAUUUAGGAGAUGCCGUAAUUUGGCAUGUGUAUCUGGAGACGGGAUGGAGAAGGCACCAAUGGGAAGAUGGGGCUGAAAGUAGGACUUUACUGACCUUGAAGAAGAGAAAAGGACAGAUGUUAACUAAGCACCUCCUUGCAAAUGCCUGCAUAUAAAUUAAUUCUUCACCAGUCCUCUUCUGGGCUUUCUUUCUGGCUGAAUACCAGAAGGCUGCCUUUGCCUGCAACUGAGGUGUGAGUUGCAUCCAUUAGGAUUUCUAACUGAGAGGUCCUUGGAAAGGAGGAGGUCCUGGAAACAAUGGCUUAAAGUGAAGUGCUCCUGGAGGCUUUGCAAAUUUAUCAAUUCAUUCUCUUGGAAAGUGUUACUGUAUUAAUAUUUAUGUUCCUGGGGAAAGAUUAUGAAAAUGGAAUAGUGGAAGAGUCAUUUUUACUGCCUCAAUCCAUUUGCAUCAACGCUCUAAAGGAAUAUAUAUGUAUUUUUAUUUUUUAACAUUGCUUCUUCAUGAGCAAAAGAGAAGAAGUUAUGUUCCCUGAAAUGAGGUCUUAAUUUUUCAAAGCAGAAUCAAUAGGCUGCCACAUUUCAGGAAAGAAAGAAGAUGCUGCAAUUGGUCUGGAACCUGCUAAUUGACAGCACAGUGGAUUCUCCUUUGUCUUUCAUCCUGUUCUGUUGAGAAAAGGCAGUUAGGAAGAGGAAGCCCAGCAUCCGCUCUCACUACUUAAACCCUCCCUCAUCCAUCUACAUCCCUGUUCAAACCACAAAUACUCGACUUCCCAGCCCCUUGACAGGAGCUUUCAUAUAUUGCCUAACAUGAACUG
Molecule: long non-coding RNA, 1235 nt
Organism: Pteropus alecto (black flying fox)
Lineage: Eukaryota; Metazoa; Chordata; Mammalia; Chiroptera; Pteropodidae
Exons: 5
Source: RefSeq, a predicted model, not a curated record